RNAcentral lists this ribosomal RNA (762 nucleotides) under uncultured bacterium. RNAcentral's name for it is "bacterial SSU rRNA". It matches the Rfam family "Bacterial small subunit ribosomal RNA", at positions 8 to 796 of the family's 1533-position model. The record is from RNAcentral.
AGAGUUUGAUCCUGGCUCAGGAUGAAUGCUGGCGGCGUGCCUAACACAUGCAAGUCGAGCGGUAACAUGAAUAAUUUAUUAUUUGAUGACGAGCGGCGGACGGCUGAGUAACGCGUGGGAACAUGCCCCAAAGUGAGGGAUAAGCUCCAGAAAUGGAGUCUAAUACCGCAUAUGAUCUUCGGAUUAAAGGAUUUAUCCGCUUUGGGAGUGGCCUGCGUACGAUUAGAUAGUUGGUGAGGUAAUGGCUUACCAAGUCUACGAUCGUUAGCUGGUCUGAGAGGAUGACCAGCCAGACUGGAACUGAGACACGGUCCAGACUCCUACGGGAGGCAGCAGUGAGGAAUCUUCCACAAUGGGCGAAAGCCUGAUGGAGCAACGCCGCGUGCAGGAUGAAGGCCCUCGGGUCGUAAACUGCUUUUAUAAGUGAAGAAUAUGACGGUAACUUAUGAAUAAGCACCGGCUAACUACGUGCCAGCAGCCGCGGUCAUACGUAGGGUGCAAGCAUUAUCCGGAGUGACUGGGCGUAAAGAGUUGCGUAGGUGGACAAGUAAGCGAAUAGUGAAAUCCGACGGCUCAACCGUAUGGACUAUUACUCGAACUGCUUGUCUCGAGAAUGGUAGAGGUAACUGGAAUUUCUAGUGUAGGAGUGAAAUCCGUAGAUAUUAGAAGGAACACCAAUGGCGUAGGCAGGUUACUGGACCAUUUCUGACACUGAGGCACGAAAGCGUGGGGAGCGAACCGGAUUAGAUACCCUGGUAGUCC